UUUGGUGAAAAACAUCGGAAAAAUCCUCGUCAAAACUCGAAUGUAUGUGGGCCGUCUGAUCCGAAACUCCAUUUUCUGGAAACUACUUCCCUGUCCCCUUCCAAACCUUUUGCCUUCAAAUUUCUUUAUAAUUGUAAUCUACACCAUUUGAAAGGUAUUUAUAUAAAAUUUCCUUAGCAGUUGCCUAUUUUCCAGAAAGUUGUGAGGUGGGAAAAUGUCGGGUUCUGUGAAUUUUUUGAAACUCCUUGGAAAAUUUUUUCCAACAAAUCUUUAAUACACUUAAUUGAAAAGGAUAGAAACAAACGUUUCAUUAAAAAGAAUCCGCUUUUUCUGAAGCAACAAAGUCAGUGGGGUAUUAAACUGUACUUAUGCCUUUUUUCACUUAAUGUUACCGGACUAACGUUAACUUUUAUCACAUUUUCAAAAAAUCUGCACAACAAAUCUGAAAAGUAUUUGUAGAAAAUUCUAUUAAAAAACAUCCAUUUGGCGAUCUUUCGUCUCUAGUAGACCUUUCCGUCGAUUUCCGUAAAAAAAUUAUUUUUUUUACAUUGGCGUUAGGAAGGGCAUCCAGCUGUAGAAACAUUGCCAGAUUAGACUGGAGCCUGGUGCAGCCUUCUAGCUUCCCAGAACCCCGGUCGAACCGUCCAACCCAUGCUAGCAUUGAGAACGGACGCUAAACGACGAUGACGAUGAUGAUGAUGGGCUUGCGGGAACUUUUGAAGUAAUGAGAGCGAAAGACACACAUUACUCUCUCUGUCUCUUCACACACUAACAGAAGCACUUCACUUACACAACAUACUUUCUGUCUCCCACACCCCAUCAAACACACACACACAUGUACAUCAAUGCUUCACAUGCACGGUAACUUCAAAAGAACUUCCCUCGUCAUACAAUCGCUUUCUCUUAGUUCUCUUUCGCUCUCAUUACUUCAAAAGUUCCCGCAAGCCCAUAUGUAAAGAAAAAAAAAAAUUUUUUUACGGAAAUCGACGGAAAGGUCUACUAGAGACGAAAGAUCGCCAUCCAUUUUUCUGAAUGUUACGAGAGAACAAAGUCGGUGGAGGAGGUGGGUAACAUGUAGUAGUUAUAUAUUUUUCUUUUUUUUUUUUAUUACCCACAAGGGGCUAAACAUAGAGGGGACAAACAAAGACAGACAAAGGGAUCAAGUCGAUUACAUCGACACCAGUGCGUAACUGGUAUUUAAUUAAUCGACCCCGAAAGGAUGAAAGGCAAAGUCGACCUCGGCGGAAUUUGAACUCAGAACGUAACGGCAGACGAAAUACGGCUACGCAUUUCGCCCGGCGUGCUAACGGUUCUGCCAGCUCGCCGCGUGCAGUGGCACCUUGGGCAAGUGUCUUUUGUUAUGAGCCUCGGGCCAACCAAAGCCUUGUGAGUGGAUUUGAUUGACGGAAACCGAAAGAAGUCCGUCGUAUGAAAUACGUGCGUUUUUGUGUCUGUGAUUGUACUCCAACACUGCUUGGCAACCGGUGUUGGGUGUGUUUGACAAAAGACACCGACAGACUAAGUACCGAGGUUAAUAAAAAAACAACAAGAAGAAGAACUGAACAAGUGAAGGAUGUGAGAUAAUGUGUGUCUGUGUGUCCGGAUACAUGUGGAUGAAUGGAUGGAUGGAUGGAUGGACGGACAAAUAGAUAGAUAACGAAAGAGAAAGAGACAAAGGAAGAUGCACUGUGACGAGAAUUAUAUCGAUUUCGUAUGUGAAUAAAUAGAAAACCGGGUUAUGUUUUAUCUCCAUUCCGUCUGAUGACACACAAAACUCGAUUGCAACAGUUUCUUGUCAGCAUUGCACCAUCACCAUCACCAUCAUCAUCAUCAUCUUCGUCAUGACAGAUCAUUCAUGGAUGUCGUAUUAUUUAGACGCUGUCAACUUAAUAUAAACAAUUUCAAAGAAGACAUCAGUCACAUUUAUGUGUCAUAUUUAUUAUCGUUUACUCAUCCCUAUAUUUAUAUAUAUUAUAAGUUACGUUUGUUUCGUUAAUUCUAAUCUUCAUUUACCCCGCGCUAUCUCUGACCGUAUCUUCCUUCUCUCUAUCUAUCUAUGUUUUAGUCUAUCUAUCACUAUUAAUAUAUCUAUUAUCGUUGUCAUAAUCCCUCUUUAAUCGCUUUCCCAUCUCCAUUCAUUCAUUCAUUCAUUCAUUCAUCUAACCUAUUCCUAAUCUUGCAUCAUCGUAUGUUUUAUCCGCUUCAAAUUAUUCGUCCGUCUCUCCGUCUAUUUUGAUAUAUUACCGGCAUGUUUCAUAUAUUUCCCUCUCUAUCUUUUACUUUAUCCAUUUAUUACUCCUUUCUUUUCAUUCUGUCACUUCCUCUUCAUUUCAACUCCACCCUUCUUCGUAUACUUCCAGGUUCUUACUCAUAAUAAUUUCCUCGUUAAUUUCUUCCCUUACGUCGUAUAAUUAUCCAGUUGCGGUGCUUUGCCAUUGUUCUGGUAGUUUUUCCUCUUUUUUUUUGGUUUAAUUAUUUUUCUGUAUUAUUUUACAUUGAAAAAAAAGAAAAAGAAAGAAGAAAAACGCGUUAAUCAGGGAGAACAGAUAGAAAGAAAAGUCUGGAAUAAUGAAUUUUUUCGUGUGUGCCUUUCUUUAUUCCAUUCAGUUAUUUGAACCUUAUCCUCUGGGCAGCAUCUUGCGCUUUAACCGAGGAAGCUACGACCAUUAUGCAAUUUAUGCCGGUUUAGGCUCUGUAAUUCAUUACAGCGGAGAAGCGGACGUGAAGACACAAUAUGAUGCAAAGGUCCGUCUCGAGAGUUUGAGUGCAGUGGCGGCGGGCAGCCCUGUGGCGGUGGCCAACAUCCACGACGAAGAGACCCAAUCUUUCGGCGGGUGUGACAUCGUGAGAAGGGCUCAGUCGAGGAUCGGCGAAUACAAAUACAGUUUGUGGAGCAACAAUUGUGAACAUUUCGUUAAUUGGUGCCGAUAUGGCAAACAUUUUAGUUCACAGGUGAACGACAAACUUAGAUCGGCCACCAGGUAUGUACUGAGAACUGACUUGUAGUUAUGAAGUUGAAAAGAGAAAAAAAAGGUUGUUUUUUAAAGAACUAGCAAAACUCCACAUCAAUUUUGGAAGGUUUGACUCUCACAGAACCGAAUCACCAAUCACCUCAUCAUACUUUCUCGAAGAGGCAAACUGAGAACCAUCAAUUUUACUUAUACAUACAUACAAACAAACAAACACAUACACACAUGUGUGCAUGCAUAUAUUCUCUCUUUAUUAUUUCUGUUUAUUUCUUCGCGUUCCUUUCUGUUAAAGAGCGUAGGCUCGAAACGUAAAGACUUUCUCACUUUCCCGAGCGUCAAACUACUAGACACCUGCUGUCUUCGUCUUUUGUUUUUCUGUAACUUUCAACUAUAUAUAUAUAUAUAUAUAUAUAUAUAUAUAUAUAUAUAUAUAUAUAUAUAUACACACACACACACCAUACACUCACAUGCUCAACCCCACCGUCAAAUUAACAUAAACUACUUUUUAUAAACUUUAUACCACGUUGCUGCGUCUACGUUAUAUAUAUGUAUGUAUGUAUGUAUAAUGUAUACACACAUAUUCAAACAUUACACCCAGGUUGCCUGGUGUUUAUAUAUAUAUAUAUAUGUGUGUAUGUAUGUAUGUAUAAUUCACUUGUGGGGUUAAAAAACAAUCUCUUCUAAAUCCAAACGAACAAUUCUGGAAUGGAAUUCCUUAAACAAACCCUUCUUAAAGGUCACCGAUGUGCGACCACAGCACGGUUGGUGGUAUUUUUUUUUCUUCUUUUCUCUCCUUAAAUUUACCAUUGCUGUUUCAGUGAGAGUUGAUUGAAUAUUUGAACAAUACGUCUUCAAAUGAAUUUAAGGAAGAAAAAUAUUCAUUAUCCAUUAUUCAUCGUGUAAACAAGAAUAACAAGAACGUUGUUGGUGUUUUUCUCACCGAAACCGCCCCAGUAAUUCGAUGUGUGUUUAAUUAAUGUCACUUGUAUGCUGAUUGCUGAUUGCGAUAUUAAUUGCCUGAUACAUUUGUAAGGAAUAUUAAAAAUUGCUUUCAUUAAAAAAAAACAACAACUAAAACUGAUAAAAAAAAAACAUGAGGUAUAGACUUUUAAUCAAGGACCGCCGAAAAUUCCUAAAAGUUGUUGAGGUUAGCAAUUAAUACAUGUUCCCUUCCAAAAUGCCUACGAUCUCAAAUAAUAAAAUUAUAGGCGAUCCUUCGGUAUAGGUACACAUGUGAUUGUUUACAUUUCUGAAGGUAACAGAAACCCUUUUCUCCCACCCCUAAUCCUAACCCUAACACAAACCCUGACCCUAACGCCCCCAUAUAUAAAAAAAACACUUUCUUGAAAUAUAUCCGGUACUUAUACCGAAGUUACGCCAAACUAUAUUUUUUAUGAUUUAAAAAAAGAAAAAUGUCGAUAAUUAAACGUGAAAAGAAGACUU
This 4412-nucleotide long non-coding RNA is filed under the name Octopus vulgaris (common octopus). Lineage: Eukaryota; Metazoa; Mollusca; Cephalopoda; Octopoda; Octopodidae. The record is from RNAcentral.